RNAcentral lists this ribosomal RNA (70 nucleotides) under Nitrospirae bacterium CG_4_8_14_3_um_filter_41_47. Its description in RNAcentral is "partial 23S ribosomal RNA". The record is from RNAcentral. Lineage: Bacteria; Pseudomonadati; Nitrospirota.
AGGGUCAAGUUAGAAAGGGCUUAUGGUGGAUGCCAUGGCAUCAGAGGGCGAAGAAGGACGCGGCAGGCUG